This is a long non-coding RNA of Notolabrus celidotus (New Zealand spotty), 232 nucleotides long. RefSeq lists it as uncharacterized. NCBI's taxonomy places the organism in Eukaryota, Metazoa, Chordata, Actinopteri, Labriformes, Labridae. The record is from RefSeq and is a predicted model, not a curated record. The transcript is spliced from 3 exons.
ACGCCAGCGCUAUUGGGGCCCACUGUGGGGUGGACAAGACUCUUCAUGCUAUCCUCCAGAGGUACUACUGGCCAGGUAUGAAGGCAGAUAUCACAAAAUGGAUUUCCCAGUGUGAUGCAUGUCAGAAAAAGAGGGCCUGUUUAAAAGAGAAGGCCCAGUACAAACCAAUACAGGUGUCAGAGCCUUUCGAACUGGUUGGGAUGGACCUGGUAGGCACACUUAAGUGUACCAA